This 455-nucleotide ribosomal RNA is filed under the name Ancylomenes kuboi. Its description in RNAcentral is "partial 16S ribosomal RNA". It matches the Rfam family "Bacterial large subunit ribosomal RNA", at positions 1927 to 2597 of the family's 2925-position model. Lineage: Eukaryota; Metazoa; Arthropoda; Malacostraca; Decapoda; Palaemonidae. The record is from RNAcentral.
AGGGCCGCGGUAUUCUGACCGUGCGAAGGUAGCAUAAUCAGUAGCCUUUUAAUUUGGGGCUGGAAUGAAUGGUUGGAUGAGGUACAAGCUGUCUUUAUUUUUUAAUAUAACUUAACUUUUGAGUGAAAAGGCUUAAAUUAUGUAGGGGGACGAUAAGACCCUAUAAAACUUUAUAUAGGUAUUUUAAUUUUAAAAUUUGGUUUAAUUUUUGUUAAAAUAAUUUAUAUUUUGUUGGGGAGACAAGAAUAUAAUUUUAACUGUUCAUGGUAUUUAAUAUUAAUAAAUAGAUUAGGAUCCUUUUAUAUGGAUUAUAAGAAUAAGUUACUUUAGGGAUAACAGUGUAAUUUCUUUUGAGAGUUCUUAUCGAUAAAGUUAGUUGCAACCUCGAUGUUGAAUUAAAAUUUUAGGAAGGUGUAGCAGCUUUCUUUAUGGGUCUGUUCGACCUUUGAAAUUUU